GCCUUGUUGCAAACAGUUAAUGUGCUCGGCUGCUAUCCAAAAGGUUGGUGGUUCAAGUCCACCCAGAGGCU
RNAcentral lists this transfer RNA (71 nucleotides) under Loxodonta africana (African savanna elephant). It matches the Rfam family "tRNA". Rfam says of the family: Transfer RNA (tRNA) molecules are approximately 80 nucleotides in length. Their secondary structure includes four short double-helical elements and three loops (D, anti-codon, and T loops). Further hydrogen bonds mediate the characteristic L-shaped molecular structure. tRNAs have two regions of fundamental functional importance: the anti-codon, which is responsible for specific mRNA codon recognition, and the 3' end, to which the tRNAs corresponding amino acid is attached (by aminoacyl-tRNA synthetases). tRNAs cope with the degeneracy of the genetic code in two manners: having more than one tRNA (with a specific anti-codon) for a particular amino acid; and 'wobble' base-pairing, i.e. permitting non-standard base-pairing at the 3rd anti-codon position. The record is from Rfam by way of RNAcentral. Lineage: Eukaryota; Metazoa; Chordata; Mammalia; Proboscidea; Elephantidae.